GUGGGGAAUAUUGGACAAUGGGCGCAAGCCUGAUCCAGCAAUGCCGCGUGGGUGAAGAAGGCCUUCGGGUUGUAAACUGCUUUUGUACGGAACGAAACGGUCCUGGCUAAUACCCGGGGCUAAUGACGGUACCGUAAGAAUAAGCACCGGCUAACUACGUGCCAGCAGCCGCGGUAAUACGUAGGGUGCGAGCGUUAAUCGGAAUUACUGGGCGUAAAGCGUGCGCAGGCGGUGCUGUAAGACAGGCGUGAAAUCCCCGGGCUCAACCUGGGAAUUGCGCUUGUGACUGCAGUGCUGGAGUGCGGCAGAGGGGGAUGGAAUUCCGCGUGUAGCAGUGAAAUGCGUAGAUAUGCGGAGGAACACCGAUGGCGAAGGCAAUCCCCUGGGCCUGCACUGACGCUCAUGCACGAAAGCGUGGGGAGCAAACAGGAUUAGAAACCCGUGUAGUCC
RNAcentral lists this ribosomal RNA (450 nucleotides) under uncultured bacterium. RNAcentral describes it as "partial 16S ribosomal RNA". It matches the Rfam family "Bacterial small subunit ribosomal RNA", at positions 354 to 796 of the family's 1533-position model. The record is from RNAcentral.